UGCUAUAUGUGUGUAUGGGUAUGGGUUU
Molecule: non-coding RNA, 28 nt
Filed under: Rattus norvegicus (Norway rat)
Lineage: Eukaryota; Metazoa; Chordata; Mammalia; Rodentia; Muridae
Source: RNAcentral